AGAACGAACGCUGGCGGCAGGCCUCAAACAUGCAAGUCUAGGGGGUGUAGCAAUACAUCACCGGCGGACGGGUGCGUAACGCGUGGGAAUGUACCUAUUGGUUCGGAACAACUGAGGGAAACUUCAGCUAAUACCGGAUGAGCCCGAAAGGGGAAAGAUUUCUCGCCAAUAGAUCAGCCCGCGUCCGAUUAGCUAGUUGGUGGGGUUAAAGCCUACCAAGGCGACGAUCGGUAGCUGUUCUGAGAGGAAGAUCAGCCACACUGGGACUGAGACACGGCCCAGACUCCUACGGGAGGCAGCAGUAGGGAAUCUUGCGCAAUGGGCGAAAGCCUGACGCAGCCAUGCCGCGUGAAUGAUGAAGGUCUUAGGAUUGUAAAAUUCUUUCAGCGGGGACGAUAAUGACGGUACCGCAGAGAAGCCCGGCUAACUUCGUGCCAGCAGCCGC
This 445-nucleotide ribosomal RNA is filed under the name uncultured bacterium. RNAcentral describes it as "SSU rRNA". It matches the Rfam family "Bacterial small subunit ribosomal RNA", at positions 26 to 518 of the family's 1533-position model. The record is from RNAcentral.